CAGCAGCCGCGGGAAUACAGAGGGUGCAAGCGUUGUUCGGAAUUAUUGGGCGUAAAGCGCGUGUAGGCGGCGUGACAAGUCGGGUGUGAAAGCCCUCAGCUCAACUGAGGAAGUGCGCCCGAAACUGUCGUGCUUGAGUGCCGGAGAGGGUGGCGGAAUUCCCCAAGUAGAGGUGAAAUUCGUAGAUAUGGGGGGGAACACCGGUGGCGAAGGCGGCCACCUGGACGGUAACUGACGCUGAGACGCGAAAGCGUGGGGAGCAAACAGGAUUAGAUACCCCCGUAGUCCCUGUCUCUUAUAC
This 301-nucleotide ribosomal RNA is filed under the name uncultured bacterium. RNAcentral's name for it is "partial 16S ribosomal RNA". It matches the Rfam family "Bacterial small subunit ribosomal RNA", at positions 509 to 807 of the family's 1533-position model. The record is from RNAcentral.